This is a long non-coding RNA of Uloborus diversus, 283 nucleotides long. RefSeq lists it as uncharacterized. Lineage: Eukaryota; Metazoa; Arthropoda; Arachnida; Araneae; Uloboridae. The record is from RefSeq and is a predicted model, not a curated record. The transcript has 3 exons.
GCGGAGCCCGCCAAAUGCCUGCCGAAAAGCUGACAACGGUACGUGGAAUUCGUUACUUCAAAAAGAUUCGUCAGCAGGAGUAAUUAAUCCGUAUUGGAUUUUCCCAACAUUGAUGAUGUGUAAAGUUCUCAUGUUAACACCUUUCUUAGGACGUUUUGGGGACGAUAUUAAAAUACAGAAGAGUUUUUAAUAUUUUUGGAUGGAAAGCAUCAAUACAUGCAAGUAAUAUAUUUUCUGCAUUAGUUCAUUCAGCGGUAUGUUGUUAUUGUCAUGCAUGUGUGCA